UGCGAGUCGAGCGGAUGAGUGGAGCUUGCUCCAUGAUUCAGCGGCGGACGGGUGAGUAAUGCCUAGGAAUCUGCCUGGUAGUGGGGGACAACGUUUCGAAAGGAACGCUAAUACCGCAUACGUCCUACGGGAGAAAGUGGGGGAUCUUCGGACCUCACGCUAUCAGAUGAGCCUAGGUCGGAUUAGCUAGUUGGUGAGGUAAAGGCUCACCAAGGCGACGAUCCGUAACUGGUCUGAGAGGAUGAUCAGUCACACUGGAACUGAGACACGGUCCAGACUCCUACGGGAGGCAGCAGUGGGGGAAUAUUGGACAAUGGGCGAAAGCCUGAUCCAGCCAUGCCGCGUGUGUGAAGAAGGUUCUUCGGAUUGUAAAGCACUUUAAGUUGGGGAGGAAGGGCAGUAAGUUAAUACCUUGCUGUUUUGACGUUACCGACAGAAUAAGCCACCGGCUAACUUCGUGCCAGCAGCCGCGGUAAUACGAAGGGGGCAGCGUUAAUCGGAAUUACUUGGCGUAAAGCGCGCGAGGUGGUUCGUUAAGUAGGAUGGGAAAGCCCCGGCUCCACCUGGAAACUGCUUCCAAACUGGG
This 586-nucleotide ribosomal RNA is filed under the name Pseudomonas sp. RNAcentral describes it as "bacterial SSU rRNA". It matches the Rfam family "Bacterial small subunit ribosomal RNA", at positions 56 to 637 of the family's 1533-position model. Lineage: Bacteria; Pseudomonadati; Pseudomonadota; Gammaproteobacteria; Pseudomonadales; Pseudomonadaceae. The record is from RNAcentral.